CUUUUAGUAUAAAUAUGUCCCAUAAAAUAUUUGGGAUAUACUUACACUAAAA
RNAcentral lists this microRNA precursor (52 nucleotides) under Pteropus alecto (black flying fox). RNAcentral's name for it is "mir-1302 microRNA precursor family". It matches the Rfam family "mir-1302 microRNA precursor family". The record is from Rfam by way of RNAcentral. RNAcentral also lists the same sequence under 1 other name. Lineage: Eukaryota; Metazoa; Chordata; Mammalia; Chiroptera; Pteropodidae.